AAUAAAUUUUCGUCGAGACAAAAUGUAAUUUCGUCCACAAAAUUUAUUUCGUACACACGAAAUGAAUUUUGAUCUAACGAAAUGGCACCCCAAGUGUUCAAAGGAAAAUUCUGUAGGAAAAUUUGUGUUUCACUCCAACGAAAUUCAUUUCGUCAUGAUGCAGUGUGAUUUCGUAUACGAAAUUUAUUUUGUGUCACACUUAUAAUCAAUUUCGUCGAGACGAAAUAAAAUUGCGUCCUCAAAAUUCAUUUCGUUGCGAUGCGAAUAUCUAUUCCGUCGAUGAAAUGAUUUUGUGUCACAUCACAAAAAAUUCUGUCCAUGUAAAAUAAUUCUGUCUCCUCUUUCUGGCAGGGUAUAUGAGAUCGUCGCUGAUUGGCUGCACCUUGCUCAAGCCGAUCUUCGAUCGAUCGAUAUCCGGCCGCGGGACGGUCACACUCACAGGUCGGCGUGUUGGUGAACCUUUCUUGUUUAGCUUAGAUUUCACGUUAUUCAUGCCAACAAGAGCUGCAAACAACUUCUCUAAUUAGUAGAAUGUGGACGGACAUUGCAUUCAUUCCCAUUCAGCCAUUGGACUGAACCGGUACCAAGACCGGAACUGUAACACAGUAAGGAUGGUCAAUAUGAAGCGAGCUUCAUUGAAUUCCUCCAAGAGCUCUGUACUCUGUUCUGAUCAUUUUGAAGAUGCUUGCUUUGACCUGGGCAGACGAUACGUCUUAAACAGGAUGCUGUCCCAACCAUAUUUGAUUUCCCGCCUCGUCUUCAGAAGGUACAGUGGAUCUAUAUCAUACAUGCGUUCUAAAGAAAUAUAUAUUCUGUUUUAUCUACCUUUGUUUUGAUAGAACAUUGCUUUAAUUAUUCAAUUUUCAGUAGCAAAAUAGAGAUGAAAAUUAUCCUAAUCAGGAGGAUAACCAUGGACCGGGGCCUAUACUGUGUAUUUACAGUAAACUACUAAAUAAAUAUAUUUUUUAAAAUUUGGUUUAACUCAUAAUCCUGGGCUACUUUGAGAUUGCAUAGCCCAGGGAGGGGGAGGUGGGCUUUUUUGGUCCCCCUCUUCAGAUCUUGCCUCUGAUCAAAACGAAAACCAAUGCACACAUCAACAUCAAUGUAAUCUGCAAGCAUGGAACUAAAGGUUACAGAAUUCAUUAAAAUUUAUUGUUAAUAAAUUAUUUAUUGUUAAUAAAUUAGUAAUGCUAAUUUAUGCGUAAUAGAGAAUUCUUUGUUUUAAAGGUUAAUCUCUAAAGAAUUCCCGAAAUUCUAUGAUUUCUAACAAAGUUGCUCAAAAAUAAAUGGUAAAUGACAUUUC
This 1303-nucleotide unclassified non-coding RNA is filed under the name Lytechinus variegatus (green sea urchin). Its description in RNAcentral is "uncharacterized LOC121409108, transcript variant X2". Lineage: Eukaryota; Metazoa; Echinodermata; Echinoidea; Temnopleuroida; Toxopneustidae. The record is from RNAcentral.